ACCCCUGGCUCUGAUCACUUUGGAGACAUGGCCCUGGGCCAGGGAGUAGGUGGCUUGUGUCUGGUCCUCUGUCAUAUGCUGGAAGUAUCUGGUCAAAUCAUGGCCCUUGGAGGAGUUGAUCUCACCCAGGUUCUUGAGGGAGGCCUGUGGCUUUUCAUUUACUCCCCAGCUGGAGGCUCCCGGCCUGUCUGGGACUCACAGACCCUGGAGAAUGACAAGAAGAGCCUCGGAUAUCAGACCCCGGCAGGUUUGCCGGUCUUGGUACUGCCCUCCUGGAGAGAUGUCUUGCCUUGUGGAGAGGCUGUUCCUGUCAGUGAGUGGCCCUGUGUCAGUGGGGAUGCGAGGUGCCUGCCCAGCUUGACUGCUGCCCGGCUGCCCAGGCUACCCAUGUGUUCUGUGAGAUUCCGUUUCUAGAUAUUUCUUGGGGAAGCCAUGCUCUUUGUCAAUUUUCCCUCCUGUUUUGAACUAGCUGAAACACCUUCCCUCAUAGUUGGUUAAGGGCUGGGGUUGGGGCUUCUCUCAUGCCACCACCCCGCCACACUCAUUUCUGGUCUUACAUGGGCAGCUGAUGAUAUGCCCAAGGGCUGUGGCCACUUCCCUCCACUGUCCUGUCACCUGGCAGUCCAUGGAUCUCCAGCGAUCAUGGCUGCUGUGCCUGGGUUACCUAGGCCCUGAGUCUUUCCAUCUCCAUCCCUCCUCCUUUCCAUCCUCAAGAUUGUUCCAGACCAGUUCCACCCAAGUGGCACCACCCCACAGGGAAGUCUCUCAGAAUUGGCUGUCCUUUCCACUGACCACUGACACAACCCAGGAGUGCAGCUAACCCCACAGGGCAGGGCUGGUGUCCUGGCAGGGCCAUCAGUCACCCCUGAUGACCUAUGGCAUCCAUCCUGGAGAGGACUACAGGCAGACAGACCCAGACAUUGCCUUGAGGGAACCUGGAUGGAAUUGGAGGAGGCAGGAGGAACACACAGAAAUCACCACGGGCCACCCUAACAGCUCUCAAGACAGCAGAAAGAAGAAUCAGCCAGGAGCCUGAGGCAGGGACAGAUGGGGCACAUAGAGAGCACCUCCUCUAGGGACCUCAGAUCCAGUCUGAAGGAUGAAACUCUGGGGUGGUUCACUGGCUCAAGCCAUGAUGACCCCAUCCCCCUCCUGAGCUGCCCUGCAGAUGCAGCCACGCCAACCAGGCAGAUGGACAUAGUGAACUUCAGGGUUCGACUGGCCUCUCGUGGAACUCUGAAAGCUCUCAUGGAAGAAGAUCCAAGAGGAACCACAGGAUAUAUUUGGGGGUGUGGAGGCAGGGGGACCGAAGACCUCUCUCAAACCAUGAAGUCCUCUCAGGAGCCAUCUGAUUACAUGGCCUCAGCUCAGACAUCCUCCCUAGGAAGAAUUGUCCAUGCUGUUUUAAGAGUCCAGGUUGGGGACUAGCAGGUCUGGAGUCAAACCCAGAGAUCACCUCCUUUCAUCUGUGAAGCUUUUAUGGUCCAGAACUUCUCUGGACUCUGUUUUGAUGUCUACAAAUUGGGGACAAUUAGACUGGCUUCACAGGGCUGUCACUAGCUACAGAUGAGUGGUGAAACUGUCUAGCACACAGUGAGUGGCCCUCCCCUUCACUUUACUUUCUCCUACCAGGAGUCACGGAAAAGAUCAGUCUCACAAGCAGGAGAGGGAAAGCCUCAAAUCAGAUUCACAUAGAGAAUAAAGUAUUGAGGAAACAGUGUGUUGUGAGUAUAACAUGAGAUGUGGGGACCCCAGCCAUUCUAGGAUGAAGCCAACCAUAGAUAGCAACACGUAGACUCCACGGCGGAUGGGAGCUGACUGUGGUCUGUGAUGCUCUGAGCACAUCCACAUUUGGACAGCAAUACCUCAUUUGGGUCAAGACGAUGACCAAGGGAUCUGGGUGUAGAAUCAGCAGCAUCCAGGAUAAGGAGAUGGAUCUGCGGCGUCCGGAGGAGCUUGAAGGAAAGAGUCCUGCGGAGCAGAACAGGAGGCAGGCAAGAGGUGUCGCUGUACUUCAGACACUUGACUAGUGUCCCCUGGGGGCGCUAAGUGUGGUGACUGGGCCCACCCAGAGGACCGGAGCCCCUGAGAGCUUAGUUUGAGUUAUGCUAAGGUAGAUAAGGAGAAUGAACCAACAGAGGGAUGAGCAGCGGGCAGUCGAGCUAGCCGCUGACCUUGGUACUGAAAACACAGUGAUCCUGCAAAACCAAGUGGGGGCCUAGAGGCAGAGGCCACAGAGAGCUGGCUGAUGAUUGCCAUACUCCACUGAGGUUAGGGGGCACUCGGUGGCUUCGGUG
Mus musculus (house mouse) is the source of this 2297-nucleotide long non-coding RNA. RefSeq annotates it as predicted gene, 33895. The record is from RefSeq and is a predicted model, not a curated record. The transcript has 3 exons. Lineage: Eukaryota; Metazoa; Chordata; Mammalia; Rodentia; Muridae.